AGCAGCCGCGGUAAUUCCAGCUCCAAUAGCGUAUAUUAAAGUUGUUGCAGUUAAAAAGCUCGUAGUUGAAUUUCGGGAUCAAUUUAUUGGUCGUGCUAUUGUACGUACUGGUAUUAUUGAUUCCUACCUUCUGACGAACCAUGAUGUCAUUAAUUUGGUGUCUUGGGGAAUCAGGACUGUUACUUUGAAAAAUUAGAGUGUUUAAAGCAGGCUCACGCUUGAAUACAUUAGCAUGGAAUAACGAAAUAGGACGUUUGAUUCUAUUUUGUUGGUUUCUAGGAUCGACGUAAUGAUUAAUAGGGAUAGUUGGGGGCAUUAGUAUUCAAUUGUCAGAGGUGAAAUUCUUGGAUUUAUUGAAGACUAACUACUGCGAAAGCAUUUGCCAAGGAUGUUUUCAUUAAUCAAGAACGAAAGUUAGGGGAUCGAAGACGAUCAGAUACCGUCGUAGUCUUAACCAUAAACUAUGCCGACUAGGGAUCGGAUGAUGUUAAUUUUUAAUGACU
RNAcentral lists this ribosomal RNA (503 nucleotides) under uncultured Glomus. Its description in RNAcentral is "SSU rRNA". It matches the Rfam family "Eukaryotic small subunit ribosomal RNA", at positions 569 to 1076 of the family's 1831-position model. The record is from RNAcentral. Lineage: Eukaryota; Fungi; Glomeromycota; Glomeromycetes; Glomerales; Glomeraceae.